GUGCUUGCUUCUGCAGCACAUAUACUAAAAUUGGAACGAUACAGAGAAGAUUAGCACUGCCCCUACGCAAGGAUGACACGCAAAUUUUAAGAUUCCAUAUUAAA
Small nuclear RNA from Eptesicus fuscus (big brown bat), 104 nucleotides. The record is from RefSeq and is a predicted model, not a curated record. Lineage: Eukaryota; Metazoa; Chordata; Mammalia; Chiroptera; Vespertilionidae.